GAGAGAGAGAGAGAGAGAGAGAGAGAGAGAGAGAGAGAUAAAGGUAGGACCAAGAGCCAUAAAUGAUUGAAGUGAAAGGAGAAGAGUGUGGGGAUUAUAAUAUGAUAGAAUUGUACAAAAUACUUACCAUUUGAUUUUAUUAUUAAAUUAAAAAGAAAACAUAUUAAAUAAAAAUAGAAUAAAAUGAAAAUGUUUCACAUGCAUUGGGCUUAGAGGGCCCAGAUUCCCUUUCCCUUUCUGAUACCCAUGUCUCCAUUCCCUUCACUCUCUUCCAACAUGCAUUGGCCCCUUCUUUUGACCAUUCAUUCUUUCUAAUUUCCUCUCUCCCUCUCUCCCUCUCUCUUUUUUUAAUUUAUUUCUUUUUAUCCUAUUAAAUAAAUCUUUUUUUUAAAAUUAUAUUACCCCACUAUUCCAUCUCUACAACUCCACUUUUCCAUCCAAUCCUCAUCCAACUCACUUUUACUCGUUUUAGUAAAUGUUCAAAUCGAUUCCAAUCAGUCGAUUUUUUCCAUACUAACACUAACUGAAUCUCUCAUUAUCUUCGAUCAACCACUUUUAAUUCGGUCGGUUUUGAUUUUUGGGUCUAUCAUACUCACUCCUACUUAAACUUAAUGUCUAUCAAUCCAAAAAUUUAUGUUUUCUUUACAACAAUAAAACAAAUAUAAUAUGAUUUUAAGAGUGUCGCUCACCUAUGUAUGCAGUUGGUCAUUUUAAUAAUACGCACAAAAGAAAUUAAAAUAGUUGAUAAAAUAAGUUUCUUAUUUCACAAUUACAGUAAUUAGAUAGUUGAGUGAGGUAAGAUGUAAUUUAAGAGAUUUCAAUAGGACGACGACAACAACAAUACUAUUGAUUCUAUUUUUAUUUCAAAGAACAAUAGAGAUAUGGGCUUUUCUAACUAAUGUAAGAUUGUUAUUAUACUUAAACCAAUCAACAACAAAUUAUUAUUAUUGUCGUUGUUGUAACAAAGGAUGGGCUAAAGAGUAUCUGCUUGGGAUGAUCAUUCAUUUCAUGCCUUUCUUUACAACUCACUAAUUGUUGGUUAAACUAAAAUUGCUUAAACCAAUCUAUUGAUCACAUUCUUAUAAUUAAAUUGAUAUUUACAUUUUCAACAACCUCCAAAACUUCCAUUUCUACUUCAUAUAUUAUUUGUUAUACUAAUCUUUAAAUUUGCAAGCAGAUCAAAAGCUCCAUUACUAAAAUUGCUUCAACUAAUAUGACGGUUAUCUUAAAAUCAUUAAAAAACAAAAGUAUAUAUUUGAAAAACCUUCCUAACAUAAAAUGAACUAAAAAAAUUUACAAAAUAAACAAUCGUGGAAUAGAAUAUGUCCAAACCUUUUAACUAUUUACUUCUAUAAUAAUAAACACAUACAUAGCAUAAAUAAAUAAAAAUAAUAAAUGGAACAUUAAAAUUAUACCUUUUGUUUAUUUUUAAACUUCAACAUAUAGCCUAAUUUGAGAUGGUUGUGUUUUUAAAAUAAUUGCUUUAAAGUGUGUUUUUCUAGAUUAAUAAGUGAUAUAAAAAAAAAUUACUAAAUUACAUGGUGUGGAUUUAAAUAUAAUAUUUAAAAUAGAUAAAAAUGAUUUCUUACAAUAUUAUAUUUUUUUGAAGUAUAAGAGAUAAAAAAUGUUCGCAUUAAACUAAUUACUUUGCAAAAAUAGGUAUAGAAUUUAACAAAAAGAAUUUAUAAUAACAAGAACUAUUUUACAAUAUUUUCUAAAUUUUGCAAAAGCGCAUAAAUUUAAAAGCAGAUAACUUGAUAAUUUGAUAAUUUGAUGACCGUCUAAAAUCAAUAAUUAUUUGUUAUGUUUAUCAUAUUUGCAAUAUACAAAAAAGAGGUCAUAAACUGUUUUUAUCAUUUUAUGUUGUUAACUUAUCUACCUUUUUAUUAUAUUAUAAAAAAAAUCAAUGAAAAAACAAAAUAUCACUGUGUACACAAUAUAACACACUUAUUAAGAUGAGUAGAAUAUUUAUUUACUAAUUUUAAUAUUCUUUAAACCUUUUGUGUUUUUUAUAAUUUCUUCAUAAAUCCAUAUAACAUCAACAUUGGAUCAGUAUUUUCAUUCAUACAUUUUCGUAAAAGAAAACAUAGUCCUAAGAACAUAAAUAUAUAUUCUACAAAACGUGAACUUAAACGUAACACUAAAGAUUUUUAUAACAUUUCUUCGAAAGAAAAAUACAUUACACUUAACCCACAGAAAAGUUAUAACAGUAUAGUAAGCACUUGUGGAAGAAAUUUUUUGUCAAUCCUAAUUGGUUUGGAUAAUUUUCUUGUUCUAUUCUGUGUCGUUACAUUUAAUUCGUAAUUAAGAAGAAGAAGAAGAAGAAAACAAAAAAGAGGAAGUCUAAAAUUUCAUUCAUUUAAUUUAUUUCUAUAUUAUCCAUAAUACAAUGUUUUUUUUCCUACCAGUGUGUGGUUGAGCUGAAACUAAAAAUCUUCUCUCUAAUUGCGGCGGCUCUGAUCACCGUAUUGAUUGGAACCCACCGGGGUGAGAUGCACCACCUGAUUUCCGACGCCGAGAAAAUCUCUGGUCAAAUUAUGCCCUCCAAUUUCUUCCUUUGCUCCGCCCAUCAAUGGCUUCAUCGUCGAACGGCCAUCUGAUAAUCCCACAACGGCAGCGGUGGAGUUGAUCAUUCCAUAUCCCCUGCCGGUGGUCGCAGUGGGGGCAUUGAAGAGAAUUGGCGAUAUGGUGGGGGUUACGGUCGGCCCCAUUUGAGCGGCCUUUUGGAGAAGUGCGGUGGCAGACAUGUGGGGUGCGACGGUGUACGAAGAGGCCGUCGUUAACGCCUCCGACAAAAAAGGGUAUUGAUUUUCUGGGAAGAAUGUAGGGUUUUCAGAGAAGGUGUGGAUGGCGGGGGCAGCAGAGAAAAAGGAGUUAGGAUUUGGUGGAGGGUCAAGCCAGAGCGGGAGCUGCGGCGGGGAUGAUAUUGAAAGAGGACGAGGCUUGUGGUCAUCGUCAUGGUCGAAUAUAAUGUUAGGGAAAUGGUGGGCGAGGGGGCUUUGGUCGAUGACGGUAGUGGUAGUGGCAGUAGCAGUGGCAGUGGCCGAGGAGGGUGGGAAGUUUGGUUGUUGGAGAAGUAGUGAAGAAGAAGUAGGGGAAAAGUUGUUGUUGAUGAAGGUUGGAUGAUGAUUUAUUCUUGAGUUUUCUUCAGCUAGUGCAUCACAAAAUGCUCUGUGAGUAAUGAAGCUAUCUUUUCUGUGUACAAAAUACAAGUAAAAACACAAAGAUCAGUUAAUUCAUAGUAAAUCAAAUUUAUUGAAUAAGCAUUAUGAUUUCAUGCAUUUAAUUUGUACUUCAACUAGAGAAUAGAGAACUAUUGUUUGGGGCGGGUUAAAUUUGUCAUUUAAGUUGCUUUCUAGGUUAUUUUUAGGUUGAAUUUGGUCCCUACCUAGUUUUAGCUAACACAUUAAUUUCUGUAGAUAUGUGGUAGAAAAAAAAAUAUGACGAAUGCAAGUCGUUAUAUGUGAAAUUGACACUACAACACACACUACUUAGAUUAAAAAGAAAAACAGUGGACGACAAAUGAAUUUUUAGGUCAAGAGAAACCGUCCAGAGUUGUCUUUGGAAUUUUUGGUAAACAUAAAGAUGCCAUGUAAACAUACUUUCUUUUCAACACACAACUUUUAACUCAAUAUUUAUUAAGCUCAAACUCUCGGGUCAAAUUUAACUUUCACGAAUAUAUUGAAUGCAAUUUAUUGUCACAAUAUAUAUUUUUAUCCAAUAUAGAAACUAAAGUGAAAAUGAUUAUUCAUAAGAACAAUAAAAGAGAUAUGAACCUGGAAAAUAAUGUCCCACAGUCACAUUUGUAUUCCUUUGUCCCACAUAUCUUAGAAUGAGCCUUCCAAUCUGAUUGAACUGCAUACUUCUUAGAGCACUUCUCACACUUCCAUUUCUUCUCACCAUGCUUCCUACUAUAGUGCUUCUUGAUCCCAGUGAGGUCACCGAGCGCCCUCGCCGGGUCGUGGUGCACGCAGCUCUUCUCUGGGCACACGUACACCUUCUUCCUCACUUCCUUGUUCGUCCUUUGUCGAAGCUUCCACGGCAAGUUGUGCCCUCGUCGAUGAAGCUGCAAGUUCUGGUCUCUCUGAAAUCCCUUGCUGCAUAUCUCGCAAACGAAUCUAUUCUUCGCCAUUAGAGACUUCGGAGACAUCGCUAUUACUUCCGCAUCUGGAUCUGUUUAAUAUUUUUUUGGCUUCGUCAAUCAUACUUCUAAACUUACCAUUUCGUCAAUCUAAACAUAUCUUAAUUACGUCUACUAAAGGGAGUUAUUAUUGUUGAAUGAGCUUUACCUUAACACAAUUUUAUCAAAAUUAAACUAUAUAACCAAACAAUGAUUUUUAAGAUGUCGAUUUUAAAAUCAAGAAGUUUUUUUUUCUUAGCACAAGACUCUUAAAAGGACGAAGGAUUUCACUUAUACAAAACAUCUAGACAACUUUCACGACGUAAUUCGUUAUUAAUUAAUGACGGAUAAUCAAGGAAAUUAAUACGGUUCCUCUCCCGAACCCUCGAAACUCAAAUUCAACCAUGAAAAAAGAAAACCCCAUUUACCAAUAUCCUAACAUCAAAAUGAUAUUAAAACCAAAACCAAAAGCAAAAUCCUAAUUAUGAAAGAGAGAAAAGACCAAACAUAAAACAAAACAAAACAAAAACAAUAAGAGAGAGAGAGAGAGAGAGAAAGAGAGAGAGAGAGAGCGAUUGGUGUUGGAUUUAAUUGCCUGGUGUUCCUGGCAAAUUUCUCUUCUUCUUAAGAGGAACAAGAACUGGGUUGGAAUUAUGAUAUUGAUGUUGUUCUUCACCAAUCAAAUUGCUCAUUGUGGAAACAAAUUCAGACAUCAUAUAAU
RNAcentral lists this long non-coding RNA (4841 nucleotides) under Cucumis sativus (cucumber). Its description in RNAcentral is "long non-coding RNA (CSAT_LNC000116)". The record is from RNAcentral. Lineage: Eukaryota; Viridiplantae; Streptophyta; Magnoliopsida; Cucurbitales; Cucurbitaceae.